Molecule: non-coding RNA, 73 nt
Organism: Bos taurus (domestic cattle)
Lineage: Eukaryota; Metazoa; Chordata; Mammalia; Artiodactyla; Bovidae
Source: Rfam
UCCCUGGUGGUCCAGUGGCUAAGACGCCAUGCUCCCAAUGUAGGAGGCCCGGGUUCAAUGCCUGGUCAGGGAA